Molecule: small nucleolar RNA, 76 nt
Filed under: Cicer arietinum (chickpea)
Lineage: Eukaryota; Viridiplantae; Streptophyta; Magnoliopsida; Fabales; Fabaceae
Description: Small nucleolar RNA SNORD18
Rfam family: Small nucleolar RNA SNORD18
About the family: U18 is a member of the C/D class of snoRNA which contain the C (UGAUGA) and D (CUGA) box motifs. It is encoded in introns of ribosomal protein L1 in Xenopus and human, and in introns of elongation factor 1 beta in yeast.
Source: Rfam by way of RNAcentral
GAGACAUGAUGAUGUUUACAUUGGUCCGUGUUUCUGAUUUACUGUGACCGACAACCUUUUUCCAAUUUCUGAUCUC